Non-coding RNA from Vicugna pacos (alpaca), 686 nucleotides. NCBI's taxonomy places the organism in Eukaryota, Metazoa, Chordata, Mammalia, Artiodactyla, Camelidae. The record is from RefSeq and is a predicted model, not a curated record.
GAGCUUUGCUGGUAAUUAGAGCUGUUACAGGAGACAAAGACCAAGCCAGUGAUGAUGCCAGUGUCUACCCAGAGCAGCCAGGUCUCCUAGAGCCAGAUUUGAGUUGUAUUGCCAGCUUGCACAUUGCUCUACGAUGCCAUAACCACUCAUGGACGCCUACACUGUGCCAAGUGGAGUUCUGGGACCAGGGACACAGAGAUGGAAAUACAGCAGAGGAAGUCCCUGCCCUGGGGAACAUAAGGGAUGGCAAUUGUCCUGGGUGACUGGAGAAGGUACAAAGAUGCAGAAGCUCCAGAGGUGAAAGAACACGUGUGCCCCAGCCCCCCUCCUCCCUGCCCCCAUCCCACUUCCUGCUGCAGGCGCAGUGAACGGUCCCUGUUCCUCAGGCACACGGGGCUCUGCCGUGCUGCUCCCCUGGCCCAGGAAGGCCUUCUCUCUGCUGGUUAAAGGCUCCUCACCCUUCCAGAUACACGGUCCUCCUCUGUGAAGUCUCCUGAGGCUGCUCUCCCCUACCCCCUACUCCUCCCCAUCCACCCACCCCAGCCAUUGUUCUUUUAAGACCCUUUCAGCCCCAGAUGUUCUUAUUUUAGGGAGCGCCUUCCUCCGUCAGGUCAUACUGUUAUCAGAUCCCACAUUAAAUCCAUGUAUUAGUAACUGUGGAAGAGCCAAGUGGAGCAGAAAGUGAC